This 828-nucleotide long non-coding RNA is filed under the name Homo sapiens (human). RNAcentral describes it as "HSALNT0357394". Lineage: Eukaryota; Metazoa; Chordata; Mammalia; Primates; Hominidae. The record is from RNAcentral.
AGAUUGAGUCUCGCUCUAUUGCCCAGGCUGGAGUGCAGUGGCACAAUCUUGGCUCACUACUACAACCUCUGCCUCCCAGGUUAAAGCGAUGCUCCUGCCUCAGCCUCCUGAGCAGCUGGGAUUACAGACUACUCCAUGUGAAGAUAAGGAUGAAGACUUUUAUGAUGAUCCACUUCCACUUAAUGAAUAGUAAACAUAUUUUCUCUUCCUUAUAAUUAUCUCGGUAACAUUUUCUUUUCUGUAGCUUUAUUGUAAGAAUACAGCAUAUCAUACAUAUAACCUUCAAAAUAUGUGUUAAUCAAUUAAUACUGGCAAAGCUUCUGGUGAACAGCAGGCUGUUAGAAGUUUUGGGAGAGUAAAAAAUUAUACAUGAAUUUUAGAUUAUGCAGGGGUCUAUAUUCUUAAACCUCACAUUGAUCAAGGGUCAACUCCACUUAUAAAAGAAAAAAAAAAUAGCUGUAAAACAGCCUUGAGCAGGUCCUUCAGGAGGUAUUCCAGAAGAAGGCAUUGUCAUCAUAGAAGAUAACAGCUCCACCCAAAUUACUGCCCCUGAAGACCUUCCAGAGGAACAAGAUAUGGAGAUGGAAGACAAUGAUAUUGAUGACCCUUUGUGUACACCCUGGAUAAUGUGUGUGUUUAAGUCUUGGUUUUUAACAAAAGAGUUUUAAAUGUUUAAAAAAAUAAAUUAUAGGUCGGGCACAGUGGCUCACAACUGUAAUCCCAGCACUUUGGGAGGCCAAGGCAGGCGGAUUGCUUGAGCCCAGGAGUUUGAGACCAGCCUGGGCAAUAUGGCGAAACCGUAUCUCUACCAAAAAAGAAAAAUAAAAU